AGUGAACGCUGGCGGCGUGCUUAACACAUGCAAGUCGAACGAGAACGGAUUAUAGCUUGCUAUAAUUGUCAGCUAAGUGGCGCACGGGUGAGUAAUGUAUAGGUAAUAUGCCUCUUACUAAGGGAUAACAAAUGGAAACGUUUGCUAAAUACCUUAUACUCCUUAUUAACAGAAGUUAAUAAGGGAAAGAUUUAUUGGUAAGAGAUUAGCCUGUAUUGUAUCAGUUAGUUGGUGGGGUAAUGGCUUACCAAGACUAUGACACAUAACUGGUUUGAGAGGAUGAUCAGUCACACUGGAACUGAGACACGGUCCAGACUCCUACGGGAGCGAGCAGUGGGGAAUAUUGCACAAUGGACGAAAGUCUGAUGCAGCAACGCCGCGUGGAGGAUGACACAUUUCGGUGCGUAAACUCCUUUUAUAUGAGAAGAUAAUGACGGUAUUAUAUGAAUAAGCACGGCUAACUCCGUGCCAGCAGCCG
RNAcentral lists this ribosomal RNA (478 nucleotides) under uncultured bacterium. RNAcentral describes it as "bacterial SSU rRNA". It matches the Rfam family "Bacterial small subunit ribosomal RNA", at positions 29 to 517 of the family's 1533-position model. The record is from RNAcentral.